AGUGAACGCUGGCGGUAGGCCUAACACAUGCAAGUCGAACGGCAGCACAGUAGGAGCUUGCUCUUACGGGUAGCAAGUGGCGGACGGGUGAGGAAUACAUCGGAAUCUACUUUUUCGUGGGGGAUAACGCAGGGAAACUUACGCUAAUACCGCAUACGACCUACGGGUGAAAGCAGGGGAUCUUCGGACCUUGCGCGAUUGAAUGAGCCGAUGUCGGAUUAGCUAGUUGGCGGGGUAAAGGCCCACCAAGGCGACGAUCCGUAGCUGGUCUGAGAGGAUGAUCAGCCACACUGGAACUGAGACACGGUCCAGACUCCUACGGGAGGCAGCAGUGGGGAAUAUUGGACAAUGGGCGCAAGCCUGAUCCAGCCAUACCGCGUGGGUGAAGAAGGCCUUCGGGUUGUAAAGCCCUUUUGUUGGGAAAGAAAAGCAGCAGGUUAAUACCCCGCUGUUCUGACGGUACCCAAAGAAUAAGCACCGGCUAACUUCGUG
This 492-nucleotide ribosomal RNA is filed under the name uncultured bacterium. RNAcentral's name for it is "partial 16S ribosomal RNA". It matches the Rfam family "Bacterial small subunit ribosomal RNA", at positions 29 to 507 of the family's 1533-position model. The record is from RNAcentral.